This 275-nucleotide ribosomal RNA is filed under the name uncultured prokaryote. RNAcentral describes it as "partial 16S ribosomal RNA". It matches the Rfam family "Bacterial small subunit ribosomal RNA", at positions 524 to 799 of the family's 1533-position model. The record is from RNAcentral.
UACGGAGGAUCCGAGCGUUAUCCGGAAUUAUUGGGUUUAAAGGGUGCGUAGGCGGUCUUUCAAGCCAGAAGUGAAAGGCUACGGCUCAACCGUAGUAAGCUUUUGGAACUGUAAGACUUGAGUGCAGGAGAGGAGAGUGGAAUUCCUAGUGUAGCGGUGAAAUGCGUAGAUAUUAGGAGGAACACCAGUAGCGAAGGCGGCUCUCUGGACUGUAACUGACGCUGAGGCACGAAAGCGUGGGGAGCAAACAGGAUUAGAUACCCCGGUAUCCCUGA